AAAGUCGUAACAAGGUUUCCGUAGGUGAACCUGCGGAAGGAUCAUUAACACGUGGUUAUCCAUGUUCAACCCUUCGUGCUGGUGCGUGUGGCCUCCAAUCUAUUUUGAAUGGAAAUUUUGUUAGGACGAACUCGGAUUUCCGAGGGAAUGGCUUGUGUAACAGUUGGAGUUGCGAAGUACAAGUAAUUUCGACAGUGAGAAGCUUUCCAUCCUAUUGCAGUUUCCAUUCAUAGACUCAAUUGAUUCCAACAAAAAACCCAGUAGUUAACUUAUUUCUAACUGAACACUUAAUUGCUCUUUCUUGACCUAACGGUUUUGAAACCAAUUAUUUUAUUAAAACAUUUGACAACUCUUAACAACGGAUAUCUUGGUUCUC
This 376-nucleotide unclassified non-coding RNA is filed under the name Ascomycota sp. RNAcentral describes it as "partial contains small subunit ribosomal RNA, internal transcribed spacer 1, and 5.8S ribosomal RNA". The stretch from base 1 to 47 matches the Rfam family "Eukaryotic small subunit ribosomal RNA", at positions 1785 to 1831 of the family's 1831-position model. The record is from RNAcentral. Lineage: Eukaryota; Fungi; Ascomycota.